RNAcentral lists this transfer RNA (72 nucleotides) under Cafileria marina. RNAcentral describes it as "tRNA-Gln". It matches the Rfam family "tRNA". Rfam says of the family: Transfer RNA (tRNA) molecules are approximately 80 nucleotides in length. Their secondary structure includes four short double-helical elements and three loops (D, anti-codon, and T loops). The record is from RNAcentral. Lineage: Eukaryota; Bigyra; Bicosoecida.
UAGAAUAUAGCCAAGUGGUAAGGCAUUGGUUUUUGAUACCUAUAUGCGUAGGUUCGAAUCCUACUAUUCUAA